Meleagris gallopavo (turkey) is the source of this 696-nucleotide long non-coding RNA. RefSeq lists it as uncharacterized. The record is from RefSeq and is a predicted model, not a curated record. Lineage: Eukaryota; Metazoa; Chordata; Aves; Galliformes; Phasianidae.
GGGAAAAUGACUCCUCUGUGUCAGUACAGAGAGAAUUGGACGCUCCUGUUCUAGAAGUUUCUCCAGAACUGGUUCCUGGUGCAUAUACAGGAAACAGCAAAUGCAUCUCUUUGGCCUGUAUUAUAUGGAAAGUCAGACCACGUGACAUUCCAGGUUCCUUCUGGCUGAACUGCGUUAACUGUUGUCUCUUCAGCUGUUCAAACAAGGAAAUACGUUGGUGUAACCUUUGUCCCUGUGUUCCAUCUCCCUUAGUGAUCCUGGUGUCUCGUGGCUAUCCUUCUGGGUGUUGCCUUUGGCUGACUGCUCUUGGACUUGGCAGUUCCUUGUUCCUCAGGGGCCGGCUGAGUUGAAGGCCAUCUUCAUGGAGCAGUAUGAGUAGCACAAAAGGGACAGGCACAGGAACUCACAGUUGGAGUGCAGCACAUCAGUCCUCCACUGCCUUGCACCUCUGCCAACAUCUAUAGCUCAUUUGAAGGCUAAUGUUCUACAGAGUGUGACUCUGAAGCAAGGCAAGUCUCAGACUCAACAGGAAUUGCCUGGAAUUAAUGAACGUAAAGAUUCAGCUUUGAGUCAUCUUCUAGAGUGAAACAAGCCCAGUGUCUUUUGGUACUGGUUCUGGUGAAGAAAGGUUGGAGCUCAUUCACUUUGCCCUGUUCUUUGCACUACUGGCUCGAAAUGUAAGUAAUAUGAAUAGCG